UCCAAUGGGAGCCGAGGAGCCGUCGGUAGCGGCGGAGGCCUGUGACCCCGCUAGCUCCGGAGCUGGCAGGAGGGAAGCGUCCAGUAUAUUUGCGAGAUCGUGCUGAGGGCCCCUGACAUCUCUUCCGCCUGGCAGCAGCGGCGGCGCCGACGGCUGGAGGUGUCUGGUCAGCGGGUGGUGGAGGAUCGUACGGGUAGCCGAGGGAGGGCGAGUGCUCCUGAGAUCCCCAGACGGCGCGCCCAGGACAGCAAUGCUGGAUAGAGAAUUAAUAGUUGACAGUCUUUUUGUUACAUCAUUUUGAAGAUGUCAUCACACCAUCUUCUGACCUCCAUGGUAUCUGAUGAGGAAACAAACUUAUUGAAAGUCCCUUGUAUGUACUCCAGAACAAAAUGGCCAUGAUGGUGGACAUGGGCUCCACAAUAUGGACUUCCACCAACGCCAGUCUGGCUAUAGCCACUGGUGACUGCCCAACUCACCAACAGAAGAGAAAUACCAAGCAUAUGAUUACAGACACAAUACAAGACAAAAAGAAGUCAAUGGACCUCUGAAAUUCUACUGGCGGUAAGCAGAUUGGGCGAACUGCUUAGCUGCAAACAUGUGCUACUCUUAAUGAAAAAGGAAGGAAGGAAAGAAGGCACAGAUGAUGGAAGCAAGAGCCCAGAAGGCAGGGCAAAGAGCCAUUGAGAAUUAUUCCCAGACCUUGAAAUCUAAUCAAGGAACUUCUGUUUGCCCAGUUAGAUUUCAGAAUUAUUAUAGACCAGUAACUCCCUUGCCAUCUCCCAUUUCCCCCACCUUUUGAACAGGAAUAUCUGUAGCAGUUAUCCUAUGCCUGUUCCACCAUUGUGUGUUGGGUGUCUUGGGAACAGAUAACUUGCCUCUUAAGUUUCACAGAUCUAUACAUAGAGAAAAAUAGUAUUUAAAGAACCAUACUUAAGGAAUACACCCAAGGCACCUCAGUCACACCUGGACCUGAUUAAGAUAUUCUGAACUUUGAGGUCAUGCUGUAAUGGGAUGAGAUUUUUAGAGAACUUGGGAAGGGAUGAAUAUAUUUUGUAUGUGGAAGGAAUAUGAAUCAUUGGGGACCAAUGGUAAUCAGUCUCCGAGAUGGCCCCCAAUGUUCCUCACCUUCACUGUUGGCACCAUUGUGUAAAUCCCUCCCACUCAGUGUGGUCUGGACCUAGUGACUUACUUCUAAUGAAUAGACUACUGCAAAAGUGAUAGGUUAUAAAGAAUGACUUCUGUCUCGCACGUGGGCACACAUUAUCUCUCUCUCAUCUCACUUGAUUGCUCUGACAAAACAAGUUGCCCUAUGAAAAGAUCCACAUAGCAAGGAAUUGAGAGUGGUAUCUGGCCAAGAGCCAGCAAAAAAUACUGAAUCUUGCCAAUAACCCUGUGAGGGAGUUUGGAAACAGAUCCUUCUACAGUGGAGCCUUGAGAUCUACAGCCCUGGUUGACACUUUGAUUGCAGGCUGUGAGUGGCCCUGAAAUAGAAACUCUAUCCCACAGGAACUAUGAGAUAAAUGCUGUUUUAAGCCACUAUGGUUUUGAGGUAAUUUGUGACACAGCAGUACAUAAUACAGACAGGCAUGGAGUUUAUGCAGAACCUCAGCAACAGAGGCUUCUACCUACCAAGGCCAAUAUGUAUAGCACUGCUGAGUUCCCAGCCUACCAACAGCAGAGAUCAAUGCUGGGUUCCCACUAUGAACUACUUCCUGGUGGCAGACCACUUACUUUGGAAACCUUCUGACAGGCAGAGCUUAGAUUCACAGAAACAGUGAACAUCCCAGCCCUAUCAAGUUGAUAAUACCUGGGCCUGACCUGUUCUAGAGGUCUGUUUCCUAUGUGUCUAUCAAGGACUCUGAAAUAUCUCAUGUGGAACUUGGCACCCAGGAGGGAGUUCACAAGGGGCUGUUUCCCUUUGCUAGAAUAUGAGUGUUCUAGGGGAGGGAACCCAUUUCUCUGGCUUGGUAUCCCUUUUCUCUCACAAUUUCAGGUCUUCUUGGAAGCAUGCCUAAUGCCUGCCCAAUUGACCAUGGACCUCAAACCCAAUUACUACCACUAUAGAUUGCCAUCUGGAACUUUUUGCAAUGCAAAAAGGAGGUUCACAUGCACGGUAUGGGAUUCCAACUGCUGCUUCUGUCUGCCUUCUUCUGAGCCAACUUUGCAGGGUUCCUAGCCUAAAAGUGGGGAGGACUCAAGCCUGUGCCUCACCUUCCCUUCAGGAACUCCCAGUAUGGGGAACAGAGGGUAGGAGGAAACCCAUUAAUCCUAGUGUUUCAGACACCAUUUAAGGCACAGUGGAGGCACUAAUAGCAGGGGGGGGGGGUUCAGUUAAGCCUGAGAAACGGGAUAGUCCUCACUAAUGUGUCUUCCUAUCCCCUUGUCACCUGCAGACUAAAGAGACAUACUGAGGGGCAAAGUAGUAUCUGGGAUACAGAGCAGGGUGUCUCUAUAAAGUAGAAAAUAACUUUGAAGUGAGACAAUACUAAUGCCCUGGUUUCAUUCUCCUAUCCCCCACUCAGAUCUAAGGCUCCUGCAUCAGUUACCCCUCCCUUUCUAGGGGACUGCCUGGGAAAGGGACAGAUGUGGAACCAAAGGAAGUUCUCUAGUAGAGGUUAGAAUUAACCUGGGUCUUGCAGGAUGGCUACAGCCUUUUCUGUAGAAUUCAAGGGAUACAUGUCCACUGUAAAGGGGGCAUAAAGUAAGAGGGAUGGGGCAGGGCAGUGCCAAGGUGAGAAAGGGUGUCUGCCAAUCAGUGAGGGAUGGGCCCAUAAACUGAAAGACCCUCACCUCAGGCAAGCAGUUCUCUAGCCUGGGUCUUGCUGCAUCAUCUCUUCCUUUCCUGUCUGGCCACUUCUUCCAGUGGUUAGCUGCCUUGGAGUGGUGAUUAAUUGCCAAGAUUGAGCCCCUUUCUGUCCCUGUCCCAGGUCUUUCUUGUCUGUCAUUACCCUCUUUUCUUCAGGAUCAAUUUUAGACAGGUGGGCAGAUAAAAAGCCAGAUUUUUCCCUGGACUGGAACCUGGAAUAAAACUGGGCGACAGAGGGCUGAGACAAGCCCUCUCACCACUCAGAGCUGCCACAAGAGGGCGUGCUUUGUAAUUCAUCACCAGGUUCCUAUCACCUGGAAAUCCUGGGUAGGGAAAGAAAUAGAGCAAAUGGAACUCUCCAAACACACAGAUGAAAAAGGACAAAAUAGAGUGGCAAUGUGCUGUAUUCCUGGGCUAGGGAUCAGGACCUGGCCUUUAGCUUCUAAUACCUCUGUGCAGCCCCUUGAAAGGAGGGAAAGCCCUCUAGGAACCAAGCAUGAAGAGAAGCUGGUUGACUUAGCAGUUUCUAUGCUCUUGAUUCCUCCUCUAUGUCCUUAUGUCCUGAGCACAGAACACUCAGGACCACAAGGAAUGGUUCUUAGCCUCUGGAGGGUCAAGGAUCCUUUUAUGAAUCUGAUGCAAGUUGGUUAGUCUAUUUACCUGAAAAACACAUGCAGACACUCACAAAAACGUGUCAGUAAUCUCCAGGGGUGGUCCCUGAUCUAGCCCAGCACCCUCAUCUUAAAAGACUUCAAGGCUCAGAAGGGAAAAAUCCACCCAACUAUUGUAGGACCAUUAAUGGGCUUGAAAUGAUUAUGCCAAGUGAAAGAAGCCAAACACAAAGGAUCACAUAUUGCAUAAUUUCAUUUAUAUAAAAUGUCAAAAAUGAGCAAACAGGGGGAUGGGAAGGACACCUAAGGAGUGUGGAGUUUCUUUUGAGGGUGAUAAAAACAUUCUAGACUUUUUCGCAGCGAUGGUUGCACAACUCUGUGAAUAUACUAAAAGCCACUGAAUUGUACACUUUAAGUGGGUGAACUAUAUGGUAUGUGAAUUUUAUCUCAAUAAAGCAAAUAAAAAAAGUAAACUCAGGAAUUGCAAAUAGCCAACCACACAUUUGAGCUUUAGUCCCCAUUGAUCAGGGGCAGAAAGAACCAGUGGAGAAACAUCAGGGAUGAGUCCCUGAAUACGGCAUAUAGGUUAAACAGGAAAGCAUUCUAGAAAGAAUGACAUUAAAUAUAAUCUUUAUCUUAAGGGCAAUGAAGCAUCACAAAGUUUUAAGCAGUAGUGAUACGGUCAGAUCCAUACUGUAGAAACAACUAUCUGACAGAACAAAUCACAUAUUUCAAACAGGUGAAUUUUAAGCAUGAAGACUGUACCUCAAUAAAGCCAUGAAAAAAAAAAUUCCUCUGGGAACUAGAGGCUUAGAUGAGGGCACAAAGCUGGUGGAGGCUAUUGUGCUGGAGGUUAGGUGGGCAGGGCCAGAGCCCACCUGAUUGGAAUGUCUUGCCCAGGUUAAAGAGAAGCUGGUGGGACUAAGAUUCUGAACCCUGGGCUCCCUGUCCUCAGCCCCAGAAUCCUGCUAGCACUACAGCUGCUCCACUGACAGGCGAGGGAGGCACCAUUCUCCCCUUCGAAGAGAAAUGCACUUCAGAAACAUGUUUCCAAAAAACGUUGCUAAGGGUUUUAUUUCUAACAAGAGGAAAAUUAUAAUAAAAUAAAAUUAAAAUAGGCUUCA
Molecule: long non-coding RNA, 4541 nt
Organism: Urocitellus parryii (Arctic ground squirrel)
Lineage: Eukaryota; Metazoa; Chordata; Mammalia; Rodentia; Sciuridae
Source: RefSeq, a predicted model, not a curated record